GACGAACGCUGGCGGCGUGCUUAACACAUGCAAGUCGAACGGAAAGGCCCUGCUUUUGUGGGGUGCUCGAGUGGCGAACGGGUGAGUAACACGUGAGUAACCUGCCCUUGACUUUGGGAUAACUUCAGGAAACUGGGGCUAAUACCGGAUAGGAGCUCCUGCUGCAUGGUGGGGGUUGGAAAGUUUCGGCGGUUGGGGAUGGACUCGCGGCUUAUCAGCUUGUUGGUGAGGUAGUGGCUUACCAAGGCUUUGACGGGUAGCCGGCCUGAGAGGGUGACCGGCCACAUUGGGACUGAGAUACGGCCCAGACUCCUACGGGAGGCAGCAGUGGGGAAUAUUGCACAAUGGGCGGAAGCCUGAUGCAGCAACGCCGCGUGCGGGAUGACGGCCUUCGGGUUGUAAACCGCUUUCGCCUGUGACGAAGCGUGAGUGACGGUAAUGGGUAAAGAAGCACCGGCUAACUACG
RNAcentral lists this ribosomal RNA (466 nucleotides) under uncultured bacterium. RNAcentral describes it as "partial 16S ribosomal RNA". It matches the Rfam family "Bacterial small subunit ribosomal RNA", at positions 28 to 505 of the family's 1533-position model. The record is from RNAcentral.